ACCAAUGUGGUAUAGUGGUUUGAAUAUUGGACUACGACUCUGAAGACCAGGGUUCAAAUCUCUGGUCAAGUA
Molecule: transfer RNA, 72 nt
Filed under: Phrynosoma platyrhinos (Desert horned lizard)
Lineage: Eukaryota; Metazoa; Chordata; Lepidosauria; Squamata; Phrynosomatidae
Description: tRNA-OTHER
Source: RNAcentral